This is an RNA transcript of Sapajus apella (tufted capuchin), 639 nucleotides long. It is a transcript of the gene named ubiquitin-40S ribosomal protein S27a pseudogene, with no coding region annotated. The record is from RefSeq and is a predicted model, not a curated record. NCBI's taxonomy places the organism in Eukaryota, Metazoa, Chordata, Mammalia, Primates, Cebidae. The transcript has a single exon.
CACUCUAGCCUAGGCGACAGAGAUAGACUGUCUCAAAACAAAAAAACAGGUCCUUUGGCGGGGGGUGCUGGAAACCCUGUGGGCCUGCACGGCGUUCUUCCUUUUCUAUUCGCCAUCUGCAGUGAAGCUGCCACCAAAAUGCAGAUUUUUGUGAAAACCCUUAGGGAGAAGACCAUCACCCUCGAGGUCAAACCCUCGGAUAAGAUAGAAAAUGUAAAGGCCACAAUCCAGGAUGAGGAAGGAAUUCCUCCUGAUCAGCAAAGACUGAUCUUUGCUAGCAAGCAGCAGGAAGAUGGACGUACUUUGUCUGACUACAAUGUUCAAAAGGAGUCUACUCUUCAUCUUGUGUUGAGACUUCAUGGUGCUGCUAAGAAAAGGAAGAAGUCUUAUACCACUCCCAAGAAGAAUAAGCACAAGAGAAAGAAGGUUAAGCUGGCUGUCCUGAAAUACUAUAAGGUGGAUGAGAAUGGUAAAAUUAGUCACCUUUGUCGAGAGUGCCUUUCUGACGAAUGUGGUGCUCGAGUGUUUAUGGCAAGCCACUUUGACAGACAGUAUUGUGGCAAAUGUUGUCUGACUUACUGCUUCAACAAACCAGAAGACAAGUAACUGUAUGAGUUAAUAAAAGACAAGAACUAACAA